UACGUAGGGUGCGAGCGUUAAUCGGAAUUACUGGGCGUAAAGCGUGCGCAGGCGGCUUUGCAAGUCAGAUGUGAAAUCCCCGGGCUCAACCUGGGAACUGCAUUUGUGACUGCAUGGCUAGAGUACGGUAGAGGGGGAUGGAAUUCCGCGUGUAGCAGUGAAAUGCGUAGAGAUGUGGAGGAACACCGAUGGCGAAGGCAGCCCCCUGGGUUAACACUGACGCUCAGGCACGAAAGCGUGGGGAGCAAACGGG
RNAcentral lists this ribosomal RNA (253 nucleotides) under uncultured bacterium. Its description in RNAcentral is "partial 16S ribosomal RNA". It matches the Rfam family "Bacterial small subunit ribosomal RNA", at positions 524 to 776 of the family's 1533-position model. The record is from RNAcentral.